CGCAGCCGCGGGAAUACGUAGGGUGCAAGCGUUAAUCGGAAUUACUGGGCGUAAAGCGUGCGCAGGCGGUUUGUUAAGACAGAUGUGAAAUCCCCGGGCUUAACCUGGGAAUUGCGCUUGUGACUGCACAGCUAGAGUAUGGCAGAGGGGGGUGGAAUUCCACGUGUAGCAGUGAAAUGCGUAGAGAUGUGGAGGAACACCGAUGGCGAAGGCAGCCCCCUGGGCCAAUACUGACGCUCAUGCACGAAAGCGUGGGGAGCAAACAGGAUUAGAGACCCCCGUAGUCCCUGUCUCUUAUACA
Molecule: ribosomal RNA, 301 nt
Filed under: uncultured bacterium
Lineage: Bacteria
Description: partial 16S ribosomal RNA
Rfam family: Bacterial small subunit ribosomal RNA
Source: RNAcentral